This 194-nucleotide ribosomal RNA is filed under the name uncultured bacterium. Its description in RNAcentral is "partial 16S ribosomal RNA". It matches the Rfam family "Bacterial small subunit ribosomal RNA", at positions 338 to 524 of the family's 1533-position model. The record is from RNAcentral.
CCUACGGGAGGCAGCAGUGGGGAAUAAUGGACAAUGGGCGAAAGCCUGAUCCAGCCAUGCCGCGUGUGUGAAGAAGGUCUUCGGAUUGUAAAGCACUUUAAGUUGGGAGGAAGGGCAGUAAGCGAAUACCUUGCUGUUUUGACGUUACCGACAGAAUAAGCACCGGCUAACUCUGUGCCAGCAGCCUCGGUAAU